ACAUAGUGUUUGUAGUUCCACUACAGGAGAAGCUAUCUACUGAACCUCUUUCCAGUGAUUCAGUAGAGUUUGCCAAAAUGCCACAGCCUAAAUGCAUCACAUGUGGCACUCAAAUGCCUUUGCAGCUGUUACCAUUGCAUGUUGAGGGAUGCAAUGGCACAUUGACUGAGAGUGCAGCUGGGACACCUAUCGAAGAUUGUUCAGUUCUUGAGCAACCAGUGCCAUCUGUCAUAGCCUUGGAGGAAUCCUUAGGGGGUUCCCCAAUCUGUUUUGGAUUUUACCCAGCUGAUGUUAUCUCAUGCAAGCACAUAUGGUGAUGACAGGUAUAAAGUCUAUGUCUAAUCCUGUGUUCAGACCCAGUGCCUUUUGAGCAUCAAGGGCAUCAGGUCUACAUACUCAGUGCGCGUUGAUAGGUCCUGUCGCGCAUCUUGCACUGCGUGUUUUGAAGCUUUCCGUGUGUUUCAUGCUGCCUAUUUGGACUGACGUGCUUUAAGAGCCUCUAAUGCAGCAGACGAGUUGAAAAAUCAGAAAUUUUGCAGCUGGACACGUCAAACCAAAUCAGAGAAACUCCGCUUUGCGAUGUAGUUGGGAAUUUUCUGACAGGAAAAAUAUUGUUUCUUCUUAUCACUAAAAAAAUGACAUCGAGAUGCCCACUUUACUGAGACAAAUGGAUACUCUUCAUCGGUAAUGGGGCACUUGUAUUUAGCCAGAACAGGCUGGAAAUGCCGGCACCAAUGCUGGUCAGCAGGUUGUCAAAUUAGGGUUGGAUGAAACAUAAAUGGCACUGAAAGUGACCCUUGUCAGUGCGCAGCUCCUGUUGAAUCCAGAGACGGCUUGGAGGUGUUCAAUGAUGACAUUCUCUUGAAUUAUUCUGUAAACAAAACCAAGCCACUCCGGAUUUAAUCUGCAAGAACAAGAACAUGGUAGCUCCUUUCAACAAGAGUCACUAUGCCAAUGGCCUUCAGAGUUGAGGCCCUUGACAGGACAUCGAACUUGUGCUACUAUGUGCUACUACAAGCACAUUAUGUGAUCAUUUCGUUUCCCAUUCUUCCAGACAAUGUUUUGAUAUUAAUUAUCUUUUGGACUGUUCUAAGAUUGAACUGUGCUCGACCAAGGGAAGCAGACAUUUCCCCAACAGGAAAAGAAUUGCUGGGACCCUCAGUUCCACAAUUGUCAUCAGUGUCAACAUGGACCAGUGAAACCAACCCACAAAAAGAAUGUCAGUUGUUCAGAGAAGAACUACUGAACUGCAACUCUGACAGUCCACGCCUCUGUCUUUCACUUGACAUGUUUGAAGAUGAAGAAGAACAAGACAGCGCAUUCAUCUCAUUUUAUAAGCAAAGUAAUGUGAACUGGGCAGCUCCGUUCAAGUGCAGACUGAGAGGAGAUGCAGCAGUUGGUGAUGGUGUCAACAGACAUGUUUUGUCAAUGGCCAUGGGAAAACUGAAAACAGGCUUCAAAAUCAAUUUAGAGUCUGCUGCAACAACAACCAUUUUUGAGGGCGAAAAAGAACACCUGGUUCCCUCUGCAGCUGCUGUUCUGCGGGAGAGCAACCUGUUUGAGAUGGCAGGUCGUAUGAUCAGUCAUUCUUUCCUACACAGUGGGUUCAGCUUCUCUGGACUCAGUUUGCCUGUUGUGACCCUAUUGACUGGUGGGAGCAUUGACACUGCAGCAUCAGCUCUCACCCUGGAGGACUGUCCUGAUAUUGAGUCGCGUCAAACAAUUGGUUUGCUGAAAAAGGAUGAACUUACUGCAGAAGAAAAAUCAAAAGUGAUGGAUCUUUGCCUCUUCUGAGAUCUUCCAUAUCCUACCUCUACCAACCAUGUCUGGCUCUUCCAGGAACUGCUCUCACAUGCAGUACUUCGCCGUGUUAAACAGCAAAUUAAACAAAUACGGAAGGGUCUAAAAGAAACGGGGAUUUGGCAGCUCAUUACAGACAGGCCAGAUGUUCACCCCUUCAUUUUCCCUAGGGAGUCAGAUGAGAAGCUUCACGCACAGACCGUGAUCCAAAGUAUUACCUGGCCACAACCCAACUUUGACAGUGAUGAAGAUGAGAGUGUUCCAUUGGAAAAAAUAGGUCUUGUCACUGGAUUUUUGAGAAAAUUCAUAGAGGAAGCAUCACCAGACGUGCUGCGUGACCUGAUGAAGUUUUGGGUCGAGUGGGAACUGCCAACAAAAAACCUCAACGUUGAGGUUGUAACCUCAUCAUAUCCAGCUGCUUCUUCAAGUUGAAGCUCCCCAGCCACUAUGAGACCUACAGGAUGUUUCACCAAGACUUAAUGAUGGCACUCAGCUCCAUAAGCUCUGGUUUUGGACUGGUUUAGGGGCGAAUGUUUUGUACUUAACCCUUCUUUAGAAAUGGUGUCAGUUAAAAGAGCAUUCACUGUUAAUUUAUGGUCCAAUUAGUUUCCAGGGUUUGAUUAUUCUACUUUUGAUUAAGCCACAGUCAUCUGUUGAGAUAAAAAAAUAUAUAUAGUUGAUUUGGUGACAUUGUGAUAUGUUCCACGAGUUACAUACUCUUUUUGAGAUACUGUUGCUUUUGUAAUUUUAUAUUGUGAUAUGCACCUACACAGUGUAGUGAGCGUGGAUCAUAUAAAGAUCAUCUCUGUUUUUAGUUUUCCUACUUGAAGUAAGUGCAAGGAAAGAUUUGUGGGCUUCUUUAUUUUUUUUAUUUCAUUAAGUUCAGAUGUCCCUAGAGAUGGUUUGUACUAGCAGUAUAAAUUGUUGAAUAACCCUAAGAUCAGGUGUUUAGGUAGAAAAGUUUCUCUAACAUUGGUAAUUUGUUUCAUAGUCAGUUAUACAUGACAGUUUGUGCACCCAACUGUUGGUUUGGUAAAGCUAUUGUGUCAAAUACCACUGUUCCCUUUUAGCAUUUAAUAAAAAAAUGCUGUACCACUACAUUUGAAAUUAUUAAAAGUGAACCAUUUAUAUUCCUUUGAACAGCAUUAAAAU
This is an RNA transcript of Fundulus heteroclitus (mummichog), 2952 nucleotides long. RefSeq lists it as uncharacterized. The record is from RefSeq and is a predicted model, not a curated record. NCBI's taxonomy places the organism in Eukaryota, Metazoa, Chordata, Actinopteri, Cyprinodontiformes, Fundulidae. The transcript is spliced from 10 exons.